AUUGGUUACGGCGAUAUGACACCGCAUACCUAUUUGGGUAGAUUCAUCGGAUCAAUGUGUGCUUUAGCAGGAGUUCUAACAAUUGCUUUACCGGCUCCAGUAAGCAUACUUCGAG
Non-coding RNA from Syphacia muris, 115 nucleotides. The record is from Rfam. Lineage: Eukaryota; Metazoa; Nematoda; Chromadorea; Rhabditida; Oxyuridae.